GAUGAACGCUGGCGGCGUGCCUAACACAUGCAAGUCGAACGGAGAUUACGGACGGAAGUUUUCGGAUGGAAGACUGUAAUUCUUAGUGGCGGACGGGUGAGUAACGCGUGGGCAACCUGCCCUAUACAGGGGGAUAGCAGCUGGAAACGGCUGGUAAGACCGCAUAAGUCGGCGAGACCGCAUGGUUUUGCCGGGAAAUGAGCAAUCAGGUAUAGGAUGGGCCCGCGUCCGAUUAGCCAGUUGGCAGGGUAAAAGCCUACCAAAGCAACGAUCGGUAGCCGGACUGAGAGGUCGGACGGCCACAUUGGGACUGAGACACGGCCCAAACUCCUACGGGAGGCAGCAGUGGGGGAUAUUGCACAAUGGAGGAAACUCUGAUGCAGCGACGCCGCGUGAGUGAAGAAGUAUUUCGGUAUGUAAAGCUCUAUCAGCAGGGAAGAUGAUGACGGUACCUGACUAAGAAGCCCCGGCUAACUACGUGC
This 482-nucleotide ribosomal RNA is filed under the name uncultured bacterium. Its description in RNAcentral is "partial 16S ribosomal RNA". It matches the Rfam family "Bacterial small subunit ribosomal RNA", at positions 28 to 508 of the family's 1533-position model. The record is from RNAcentral.